CCUGGUUGAUCCUGCCAGUAGUCAUAUGCUUGUCUCAAAGAUUAAGCCAUGCAUGUGUAAGUAUGAACUAAUUCAAACUGUGAAACUGCGAAUGGCUCAUUAAAUCAGUUAUAGUUUGUUUGAUGGUACUUGCUACUCGGAUAACCAUAGUAAUUCUAGAGCUAAUACGUGAAACAAACCCCGACUUCUGGAAGGGACGCAUUUAUUAGAUAAAAGGUCAACGCGGACCUAGUCCGUUGCUCUGAUGAUUCAUGAUAACUUGACGGAUCGCACGGCCAUUGUGCUAGCGACGCAUCAUUCAAAUUUCUGCCCUAUCAACUUUCGAUGGUAGGAUAGUGGCCUACUAUGGUGGUGACGGGUGACGGAGAAUUAGGGUUUGAUUCCGGAGAGGGAGCCUGAGAAACGGCUACCACAUCCAAGGAAGGCAGCAGGCGCGGAAAUUACCCAAUCCUGACACGGUGAUGUAGUGAUAAUAAAUAACAAUACCGGGCUCUUCGAGUCUGGUAAUUGGAAUGAGUACAAUCUAAAUCCCUUAACGAGAAUCCAUUGGAGGGCAAGCCAGGUGCCAACAGCCGCGGUAAUUCCAGCUCCAAUCGCGUAUAUUUAAGUUGUUGCAGCUAAAAAGCUCGUAGUUGGAUCUCGGGAUAUGUCUGUUGGUCUACCUUAUGGUGUGCACCGUCAGUCGCAUCCUUUCUGCCGGCGAUGCGUUCCUGGCCUUAAUUGGCUGGGUCGUUCCUCCGGCGCUGUUACUUUGAAGAAAUUAGAGUGCUCAAAGCAAGUCUUCGCUCUGUAUACAUUAGCAUGGGAUAACGUCAUAGGAUUUCGAUCCUAUUUUGUUGGCCUUCGGGAUCGGAGUAAUGAUUAACAGGGACAGUCUGGGGCAUUCGUAUUUCAUAGUCAGAGGUGAAAUUCUUGUAUUUAUGAAAGACGAACAACUGCGAAAGCAUUUCCCAAGGAUGUUUUCACUAAUCAAGAACGAAAGUUGGGGGCUCGAAGACGAUCAGAUACCGUCCUAGUCUCAACCAUAAACGAUGUCGACGAGGGAUCGGCGAAUGUUGCUUAUAGGACAUCGCCGGUACCUUCUGAGAAAUCAAAGUCUUUGGGUUCCGGGGGGGAGUAUGGUCGCAAGGCUGAAACUUAAAGGAAUUGACGGAAGGGCACCACCAGGAGUGGAGCCUGCGGCUUAAUUUGACUCAACACUGGGAAACUUACCAGGUCCAGACAUAGUAAGGAUUGACAGACUGAGGGUUGCAUGGAGCAAGGCGAGCCAUGCAUCCGAGGGGGAAUCUUGCCCAUGAAGGCAAGCCAUAAAACAAAAGAGUGCUUUGGGACAAUGUGGCUACUCCAAAUAACCCGAAACACCGGCUUUUGGGGGGCCAUCCGCCGAAAGAAAUUAUAGACUUCCGACAAGCCCCCCGUGGAAUUUGCCUUUUUCCAAUUUUCUAGGGUUGCUUAUGCUAGAAUGACUAAGCCAAAUUUUGAAACAAGGCCAUCUCUUAUGCUUAGAAUCUUUUUGAUAAGCGGAGAUGCCCUAUAGUCGGCUUUCCAGGUCCAGAAAUCCGGGCGUUUCACAUAAAUCUGGUGAAUCCAGCGGACCCAAAGAGAGUCCUUAUUAGCAUGGAUAUUCCAAAGGACCUUGGAGAGGUGAGCACAGUUCCAGGCUUCAAGGUCUCGGAAGCCCAGGCCACCCUCACUUUUGGGAAGGCAACAUUGU
Molecule: ribosomal RNA, 1714 nt
Filed under: Begonia fuchsioides
Lineage: Eukaryota; Viridiplantae; Streptophyta; Magnoliopsida; Cucurbitales; Begoniaceae
Description: SSU rRNA
Rfam family: Eukaryotic small subunit ribosomal RNA
Source: RNAcentral